GACAUUCACACUCUGCCCCUGCAUCGGCUGCCUUUGGGGCCAAAUACUUUUGUGAAAAUUAAGACAGAAGGCCGGGUGCGGUGGUUCACGCGUGUAAUCCCAGCACUUUUGGAGGCCGAGGCAGGCGGAUCACGAGGUCAAGAGAUGGAGACCAUCCUGGCCCACAUGGUGAAACCCUGUUUCUACUAAAAAUACAAAAAUAGGCAGGGCGUGGUGGCUCACGCUUGUAAUCCCAGCACUUUGGGAGGCUGAGGCGGGCAGAUCACGAGCUCAGGAGAUCGAAAUCAUCCUGGCUAAUACGGUGAAACCCCGUCUCUACUAAAAAUACAAAAAAUUAGCCGGGUGUGGUGGCACGUGCCUGUAGUCUCAGCUACUCAGGAGGCUGAGGCAGGAGAAUUGCUUGAACCCAGGAGGUGGAGGUUGCAGUGAGCCAAGACUGCGCCACCUCACUCCAGCCUGGCAACAGAGUGAGACUCCAUCUCAAAAAAAAAACAAAAACAAAAACAAAAAGUAACUGGGUGUGGUGGCCCGCACCUAUAGUCCCAGCUACUCGGGAGGCUGAGGCAGGAGAAUCACUUGAACCCAGGAGGCGGAGGUUGCAGUGAGCCGAGAUCGUGCCACUGUACUCCAGACUGGCGACAGAGCCAGACUCCCUCUCAAAAAAAACAAAAAACAAAAAAGAACCAGAAAAUGUAACUUUCUUCCUAUGGUCAUAAAUCUGGUGUAAGCAGGCAAGUCAAAGCGAUGUUGAAGCCAAUGGAUCUUGCAAAGGCAUGGCAAUGUUUGCACAAGGAUGGGAUAUAGUAAGUUAAAAUACAUUGGCUUUUUCCAAACGGGCUCAAACUGGAAGAGAAGGUCUAAGCAGAGCAUGUGCUGCUGUCAGGAGGGUUCCUCAGCAGGAGACAGGGCACCCCAGGGGUGCAUAUUUAAUAAAAACUUACAAUAUGCAGGUUUUGGGACAUGAAGGAAACAUUUAACCUGUCCUGUCCAACACGGCAGCCACUUGUCACAUGCGGCAGUUGAAUACUUGGAAUAUGGCUAGUCUGAAUAAAGAU
RNAcentral lists this long non-coding RNA (1055 nucleotides) under Homo sapiens (human). Its description in RNAcentral is "non-protein coding lnc-PCBP1-10:1". The record is from RNAcentral. Lineage: Eukaryota; Metazoa; Chordata; Mammalia; Primates; Hominidae.